This 296-nucleotide unclassified non-coding RNA is filed under the name Hevea brasiliensis (rubber tree). Lineage: Eukaryota; Viridiplantae; Streptophyta; Magnoliopsida; Malpighiales; Euphorbiaceae. The record is from RNAcentral.
AUGGAUCUUCAUUGUCAUUCUCUCUCACAACACAUUCCCAUGCUUCCGACUUCAUCAAGAUCGCUUUUUGUGCUCUAGUUGAAGCUAAUUGUUCAAAUUUCAUCUUGGAUGGUAUUUCUAUUUCAUGCGAAGGCCGCUUCGUAACUGAGUCUGGAGAGUGCCUCGAAAUGUAUCCUAAUUGCCCAUUGAAUCUCAUCCCCAAAAUACAUUAUAUCUCCCUCUGGUAUUGCGCCAUUCGUUUCAAUUCCAAGAAAAUCCGUAUUAGAGAGGCCUCAUUUCAAUUCUUCAUACCUGGG